RNAcentral lists this unclassified non-coding RNA (2928 nucleotides) under Haliotis rubra (blacklip abalone). RNAcentral's name for it is "ankyrin-3-like, transcript variant X1". The record is from RNAcentral. Lineage: Eukaryota; Metazoa; Mollusca; Gastropoda; Lepetellida; Haliotidae.
CGCACAUGUGCUGGCUGGGUUUAAUUUCCGAGCCCACGCGAAGGAACCAAUAUGGACAUAUUCCAAAGACUUCAAAAUGACACUUUGAAAGAUCUGGGACUGUUCACGUGCAAUGUGGAGUGAUAUAAUCCCAACAGCUCGUGGAAAUGACAGAAAUGACGAAACGGGUACAGUUUGAGGAUGACAGUAACAGCCAAGUUGAACCGCUGCAUCGCGCAUGUGCGCUGGGAUCCUUAGACGACAUUCGGGACUUCUUCAACAGCAAUCCAAAACUAGACGACCAUUUCUACGAAGGGUUGUCUCCCUUGCACGUUGCGAUACUGAGUGACCGCACUGACGUCAUCGAUGUGAUAGACGUCCUCGUCAACAAUGGCGUCGACGUGAAUGCUCAGACAGAGACGAAUAAAGACACAGCCCUCCACCUAGCGGUAGAAAACGGAGAGUUUCCUCAAAAUUAUGACGUCAUAGUCAAAUUAAUCGACUGCAAGGCCGAUGCUGAAAUCCGCAAUAAGCGACUCCGUUCCGCCUAUGACUGUGCACUGGCCAAAGGCCACGACUUGGUUGCCUCAACGCUGGACGGUUCCAAAAGCACCAACGAGGUGCAGAAUUCCUACCGUGAACGAUACGGGGAGAAGUAUGCUCCCAUCCUGAACGAGGCAGUGUUGGAGAGCGAUGAGGACACUAUGAAGGAGUACAUCAAGAAGGGUGCAGAUCCCAACUACAUCAACAAGUAUGGCGCCGGCGCUAUCCACUAUGCACUCACUCGAUGUACACUUCCUGUCAUGCGCGUGCUGGACAUGCUUAUUUCCGCUGGGGCGGAUGUUGAUCUCCGAGAUGAUGAAGGCGACAGUGCUCUUAACCUGGCCAUCAAGAACGAGGAUCUUCGCAAGAGCGGCCAGAUGAUGCAAGUGGUCAAUCUUCUCCUUGAGUGUGGCGCCGAUGUCACCUUUAAAGAUCUGGAUGGCAAGGACGCACUUACGCUAGCCAAGGAGAGGCAAUACAGCGAUGUUGUUGCGGUGUUGAACAAGUCCAAGUCGGAACACGUCAAGGAAGGAGAACAGAGUCCCGAGCCAUUGCCGGAGAGUAGUUCGGAGCAAUCUCCGGAACCAGUGCCAGUGCCAGGUACUCCAUUGCCGGAGAGUAGUUCGGAGCAAUCUCCGGAACCAGUGCCAGGUACUUCUCCGGUUCCCAAACCGGAAACAAUGUCAUCACCGGAACCGGAACACGUGGUGAUGGAAGCCUUGGAGGACACACGUGAGACCGAUGGCAACGUGAACAAACCGAAUGAGGACGGGCUGUAUCCAAUUCACCAGGCCGUGUUGAAGGACGACUCUGACGAGAGGCAGAAGUUGUUGGAGACGUUGACGGAAGCAGGCGCCGAUGUCAACGUUGUAGUCAAAGGGCUUGGUACGACACCUCUCCACCUGGCCGCGGAGAAGAACAGGGUCGACUCUGUGAAAUUCCUACUGGAACAUGGUGCUGACAAGACCAAGAAGACGCUGCUCGGCAAGACGGCGUUUGACAUGGCGUCGGACAAAGGGCAUACCGAGGUGAUGGAGCUGUUGGGCGACCGCCACGACAUCGUCCAGGACAGGUGGAAGAAGGGGGCCAAGAAGUCAAGCUCCUGCACCAUAUUAUGACCUGCAUACCUACAGCACCUCAGACCCAAGUGCAAUCCAUGUACUCCACGUCUAGUGAUAUUGAACUGUGAUAUAAAGUUGUAGCUUGGGGCGGUUUACAAAACACGAUGUAGGCUUAUUGGGUCAACUGUGUAGCCGUGUACACCACAAUUUGAAAGCACAACAAAAACCACAAGGACAAGAAUAAUCGCCAUAUUGGCAGUCGACCUCCAGAAUGUUUACGCUUAGCUUAUGCCUUAUAUCAGAACGUGUGUGUAUUACGCUACACCCUUUUGAUGAAAGGAGCUUGUCGGAUAUACAUUUCUUGGUACGUUAGCAUUUUUCAAAACGCCAUGGACCAAUAAUUUGAGGUACUUUAAUUGUAAGAUAGGAUAGAGUAAGUGAUGUAAAGUGGUGAAUGAGAGUAAUCUACGGUUAUAACGAACUCAACGGGAUCACUAAUUAUAGUUCAGGAUAACCGUAGUUCGUUACACGCAUUAGGAAUAAAAUAUACUGUGGUUGGGACAGAAAACAACAACAGAACCCCCAGUUCGUUAUAUCCGUCAAUUCGUUAUAAGCGUUGUUUACGGUACAUCGCUAAUAGCAAUGUGCUCACAGCCAUAUUGCAGCGAAAGGUCUUGUGGGACCAUAAAUCGCCUUUACACAUAGUACUCAUUGGCGGAUCCAGAGAAGGGGGGAAGGGACUUAAGACCUCAUUGAAGAUUUUUUUUGCGUUGGCGGAGCCAAUGGGGGGUUCAGCGGCUUCGCUGGUACUAAUGCAAGGAAGUGAACCCAGGUGUUUGGCGAGACCAGCCAGCACCUUUACCACUGGCCUACUUCACCCUUCUCGAUGUCAUUUCAGGAUGGGUGAAGAAUCUUCAAAAUCAUAAAGACCUAUCAUAAUUAACACCGUGAUUGUAGUUUUGCUCCACUUUUAAGAACUGACAAUCACUGACAUAAACAUCGUAAAUAAUGUAAGAUGAGAAAUCCUUUCAAUUGAUUCUUCCAGGCAUAUCCACGACUCAUCCAUAAGAGGUUGUGGUCUUCGAGGUAAAAAACAACUAGCGAACCUAUAAUAUAAUGUUUUUGGCACCGUCAGUGACAAUCCUGUGACACUUCAUCACGUUGUUUGUUGUGCAACGCCGCAGUCAACAAUAUUCUGCCUAUUUGGCGGUGUUGUGUAAAAUAUAUUUAUGUCCGCCCUGUAUACUCAUUGUAUAUAUUAUGAUAUUACAUUGUAAAUUAUUUUAUACCGGUGUAUGUUAAUGUAAACAACUGAUCAAGGAAAUAAAUAUUUUCCAAAAACGUG